Long non-coding RNA from Ornithodoros turicata, 882 nucleotides. RefSeq lists it as uncharacterized. The transcript has 7 exons. Lineage: Eukaryota; Metazoa; Arthropoda; Arachnida; Ixodida; Argasidae. The record is from RefSeq and is a predicted model, not a curated record.
GUUGUGCCAGUGCCGUGACUACAUGCCGUACAACUUGCCGGACCAGCCCGGACUAGGACCAUGCCGAAAUUGGUGUCUCAUGUCAAGCACACACACAAGAAAAGGCGAUGCAGCAUUUGCAGCACAUCACUUCACGGUAUAUGUGAAAGCAUACUUCGGCAAAUAAGGAAUGCAUCAGAAGGACACCACGGGACGCUUCAGAGUCUGGAUGUACCAUAUCUGAUGAAAAUCUUGCACCACAGAGGCUGCUCGAUGGAUGGAUUACAACCCUGAUGAAGCAGGGAAGUUCAAGGGAACAACAGGUGCACGACACUAUCAUUGCUAGACAAAAUUGAGUUUGAACAGAAAGAUGCCGCACAGGGAACGAGCAUGUCACUCAAACUGUUUGACCGGAAAACCUGGAGCAAGAGGAAACUUCCGCACAAGACUACAAAAAAAAGUAGACUUAGAAGUCCAUGUAUACGGGAGAGCACCUUUGGUGGAAGAGGCUUGUCGGCCGACACUGUUAUUUGAUUCACCUUGGGGUUGACAGUUUUGUUCCUGAGAACUUCAUGUGCGUACAGCGGGGCAGAAUCAACAACAAGUUAGUCAACAAUUUGAUGCAGCCUUUCUGGACACAAGAUGGAACGGCGACUAGUUGCUAUUCAGGGCAACCGUAGCAGAGAGCAGGCAUUCAUGCGCUCGUCACAGGCAACACCAGAGAAGUUGGACUCCAUUACAUAAAUGGCAUGCCACAUUGAGGGCCACCAGACUGACCUUGUAAAAGAAGCAAAGCUAGAACUAGUCAGGUGAAUCUUUGGAGAUUUGGUUUUGGAGAUGUUGCCCAGCAAGGCAAAAACAGAAAAGUGACACAAUAAAGAAAAUAAAUCUGGGAAUAGUGAA